AGCAGCCGCGGUAAUUCCAGCUCCAAUAGCGUAUAUUAAAGUUGUUGCAGUUAAAAAGCUCGUAGUUGAAUUUCGGGAUCAAUUUAUCGGUCGUGCCAAUGGUAUGAACUGGUACAAUUGGUUUCUCCCUUCUGACGAAGCAUGAUGCCAUUAAUUUGGUGUCGUGGGGAAUCAGGACUGUUACUUUGAAAAAUUAGAGUGUUUAAAGCAAGCAUUAGCUUGAAUACAUUAGCAUGGAAUAAUGAAAUAGGACGUUUGAUCCUAUUUCGUUGGUUUCUAGGAUCGACGUAAUGAUUAAUAGGGAUAGUUGGGGGCAUUAGUAUUCAAUUGUCAGAGGUGAAAUUCUUGGAUUUAUUGAAGACUAACUACUGCGAAAGCAUUUGCCAAGGAUGUUUUCAUUAAUCAAGAACGAAAGUUAGGGGAUCGAAGACGAUCAGAUACCGUCGUAGUCUUAACCAUAAACUAUGCCGACUAGGGAUCGGAUGAUGUUAAUUUUUAAUGA
RNAcentral lists this ribosomal RNA (502 nucleotides) under uncultured Glomus. RNAcentral's name for it is "SSU rRNA". It matches the Rfam family "Eukaryotic small subunit ribosomal RNA", at positions 569 to 1074 of the family's 1831-position model. Lineage: Eukaryota; Fungi; Glomeromycota; Glomeromycetes; Glomerales; Glomeraceae. The record is from RNAcentral.